This 2040-nucleotide unclassified non-coding RNA is filed under the name uncultured fungus. RNAcentral's name for it is "sequence contains 18S rRNA gene, ITS1, 5.8S rRNA gene, ITS2, 28S rRNA gene". The stretch from base 917 to 2040 matches the Rfam family "Eukaryotic large subunit ribosomal RNA", at positions 1 to 961 of the family's 3401-position model. Lineage: Eukaryota; Fungi. The record is from RNAcentral.
GGAAGGAUCAUUACCACGUUUAUCCAACGUAUCAACCAAACGCGAACUGUUCACAUAUCCUCCUCCGGGACUCUUUCGAGAGACCUAGGGCCAACCCUUGUAUCAACCAAACCAAUCACCAUACAUACUUUUUGCUAGUUGACUUUACUGUAUACUCGCGUCGUUCCUAACGGAAUAGCGGGUGUUUCCUUUACACGAAACAACACACCAAUACAACUCUUAGCAAUGGAUAUCUCGGUUCUCGCAACGAUGAAGAACGCAGCGAAAUGCGAUACGUAAUGCGAAUUGCAGAAUUCAGUGAAUCAUCAAAUCUUUGAACGCAAAUUGCGCUGCCGGGUAGCCCUGGCAGCACGCCUCUCUCAGUAUCGGUUCAACCACAUCUCAGCAGCGUGUUUGUUAUGUAUAUAUUUACUUAUGUACUGAUGCGGGCGCGUGUUGGCUGGAAAAUGAGAGUCUGUGUGCUUUGCCAUGCAGUCUCUUGAAAUACAUGGAGUGGAGUAGCGUUUGUGCACUUUCGGGUGCAUGAGCGAGGUGAGUUAAUCGACGGUCAGUUGAACUCCCGCCAGCUUUUCCUUUAUUCACUUAUCGGAGAAUAGCUGCGCGCUGUCGUGCUGGCAUGGUGCCUGCGAUCGGACGAGUGACGUGAGAUGGUAGAGAGCUUCGGUUCUUUUCUGGUUUUGCGUGUGUCUUGUCUGGCCGCGUGGCUAAGUGCGUGUGCGUGACUGGUGUGCGGCGAACGGCAGGAAUAGUAAGCAGACUUGGUAGAUCGACUGUACUUCGUGACUACUCUCACGCAGCAGAAAACCAUAAGGGAUUGGAGGUGUGUGUGUGUUUAUGAACGUGUUACAUGUUGUGUGCGCAAGCGCGCUGAUUGUGAUGCUAGUAGUAUAUAUAUGCAUACUUCUGCCUGGAUAUUUGAUCUGAGAUGAAGCGAGACAACCCCCUGAAUUUAAGCAUAUUAAUAAGGGGAGGAAAAGAAAAUAACAAUGAUUCCCCCAGUAACGGCGAGUGAAGCGGGAAGAGCUCAAUUUGAAAAUCGACUUCCUCAACGGGACGUCGAGUUGUAGCCUAUAGACGUACUAUCAGCUGAAACCUGGGUAUAAGUUCAUUGGAAUGUGGCACGAUACAGGAUGAGAGUUCCGUACACGGCCCAAAGCUUUCAGCGUACGAUGUGCGUUCAUCGAGUCGAGUUGUUUGGGAUUGCAGCUCUAAAUGGGAGGUAAGUUUCUUCUAAAGCUAAAUAUUGGCGAGAGACCGAUAGCGAACAAGUACCGUGAGGGAAAGAUGAAAAGAACUUUGAAAAGAGAGUUAAAAGUACUUGAAAUUGCUAAGAGGGAAGCGCUAGAAACCAGUGCUACGCUGUGUCAAUCGCCGCUCUGUGCGCGCGCUGCUGUGUCUGUGCAAUUCCUCACGGUUUGCCUUUUGCAGCACGGCGCGUGUGCGAGUGGUUUAUGAUGCGGUGUGAGUCAAGAUCAAUUCUGCCUGGUGGGAGAAGGUGGCGUCGCAGGUAGGUUCCUCGGAACUGUUUAGUGGCGCUGCUCUACCUCGGGCUGGGAUUGAGGAAGUCUAUGGUGCGCCGUUCUACGGCUGUGGUCCUGCGUCUCCUGGUGCCUGGUUGGUGUCUUGAUAGCAAUGCUAUCCUGGCGCUGCCGGCGUGCCACUGGGGCGUAGCGGCUCUCUGUGCCAUCACGAUCUUGUACGAAAUGGUUUCUAUCGACCCGUCUUGAAACACGGACCAAGGAGUCUAACAUCUAUGCGAGUGUUUGGGUGCAAAACCCUGGCGCGGAAUGAAAGUAAAUGCAGCUCGUCUGCUGAGGUAGGAAUCCUUCACCGGAGGCACUAUCGACCGAUCAUCGCUUGCGAAAGAUUUGAGUAAGAGCAUAUCUGUUGGGACCCGAAAGAUGGUGAUCUAUGCCUGAACAGGGUGAAGCCAGGGGAAACUCUGGUGGAGGCUCGUAGCGAUACUGACGUGCAAAUCGUUCGUCUGAUUUGGGUAUAGGGGCGAAAGACUAAUCGAACCAUCUAGUAGCUGGUUCCCUC